This 550-nucleotide ribosomal RNA is filed under the name uncultured bacterium. RNAcentral's name for it is "bacterial SSU rRNA". It matches the Rfam family "Bacterial small subunit ribosomal RNA", at positions 8 to 536 of the family's 1533-position model. The record is from RNAcentral.
AGAGUUUGAUCCUGGCUCAGAAUGAACGCUGGCGGCGUGCUUAACACAUGCAAGUCGAGCGAGGCCAGGGGGGCAACUCCCUGAGUCGAGCGGCGGACGGGUGAGUAACACGUGGGUAACCUACCCGGAAGUGGGGAAUACCUCGGGGAAACUCGAGCUAAUACCGCAUGACAUCUUUGGGACGAAAGUCCUGACGAUCAAAGCGGGGUCGCAAGAUCUCGCGCUACCGGAUGGGCCCGCGCCCGAUUAGCUAGUUGGUGAGGUAACGGCUCACCAAGGCUUCGAUCGGUAACCGGCCUGAGAGGGCGAUCGGUCACACCGGAACUGAGACACGGUCCGGACUCCUACGGGAGGCAGCAGUGGGGAAUCUUGCGCAAUGGGCGAAAGCCUGACGCAGCAACGCCGCGUGGAGGAUGAAGGCCCUUGGGUUGUAAACUCCUGUCGGCUGGGAAGAAAUCGUUCGUGGCUAAUACCCGCGGACGUUGACUGUACCAGCAAAGGAAGCCCCGGCUAACUCUGUGCCAGCAGCCGCGGUAAUACAGAGGAGGCC